GUGCCAGCAGCCGCGGUAAGACAGAGGGCGCGAGCGUUGUUCGGAAUUACUGGGCGUAAAGCGCGCGCAGGCGGAUCUGCAAGUCUGGAGUGAAAUCCCGCCGCUCAACGGCGGGGCUGCUUUGGAAACUGCAGGUCUAGGGAGCGGUAGAGGCCGGUAGAAUUCCCGGUGUAGCGGUGGAAUGCGUAGAGAUCGGGAAGAAUACCCGUGGCGAAGGCGGCCGGCUGGGCCGGAUCCGACGCUGAGGCGCGAAAGCGUGGGGAGCAAACAGGAUUAGAAACCCGUGUAGUCC
Molecule: ribosomal RNA, 292 nt
Filed under: uncultured bacterium
Lineage: Bacteria
Description: partial 16S ribosomal RNA
Rfam family: Bacterial small subunit ribosomal RNA
Source: RNAcentral